RNAcentral lists this ribosomal RNA (846 nucleotides) under Triticum aestivum (bread wheat). RNAcentral's name for it is "partial small subunit ribosomal RNA". The record is from RNAcentral. Lineage: Eukaryota; Viridiplantae; Streptophyta; Magnoliopsida; Poales; Poaceae.
AUGGCGGCAAAUAAGCAUCUCUUUCGCUUUGAGUCUUUCGUGAUAAAGGACAGGUCAGAGAUUCAUUUCUGGGAAGACAUCUGGCUAGGCAAUGCCAGUCCCCAAGAACAAUAUCCAGCCUUGUACAUCAAUGCUCGCGAAAAGAAUAAUACUAUUGCGCAGGUGCUCAGUUCAUCCCCGCCGAAUAUUUUGUUCAGGCGAGAUUUGAUUGGGCCUCGACUUACGUCAUGGCAUAAUCUAUUGUCCAGGCUGGAUUCGAUUAACCUGACACAAGACUGGGAUGUGUUUCGCUGGAACCUUACUACAUCGGGGUCUUUCACAAUAGACUCCAUGUACCGUGCACUCAUUCAUUCUGAGGUACCGUUGAAUAAUAAUAAGAAACUAUGGAAGUUGAAGAUUUCACUAAAGGUCAAAAUCUUCAUGUGGUAUCUUCGUAGGGGAGUUGUGCUAACCAAUGACAACCUCGCACGGCACAACUGGCAAGGGAGUAAGAAGUGUUGUUUUUGUACUCAUGACGAGACAAUCAAACACCUCCAUUUCCAAUGCAAGUUUGCACGUUCUACAUGGUCUGUCAUCCAAAUAGCGUCAAAUUUGUAUCCGCCCACAAGUGUUGCCAAUAUUUUUGGUCAUUGGUUGAACGGUAUUCCAAAUAGGUUCAAAACGCUAAUGAUUUCGUUUUUAAUGACAAAAAUGCUUCUCCUCUAUAGGUUAUUUUCCGGUGUACGCACUCGCUUCAUACAUGGUCAACACUACAACGAGUGGAGUACCAACCGCUGUUCAAGGCCGUGUAUACGCGAUUGGAGCAGAUGGCUAAGGAGGUUUUUCCCAACAUGUGUGGUAGCAUAA